Molecule: transfer RNA, 84 nt
Filed under: Nitzschia alba
Lineage: Eukaryota; Bacillariophyta; Bacillariophyceae; Bacillariales; Bacillariaceae
Description: tRNA-Tyr
Rfam family: tRNA
About the family: Transfer RNA (tRNA) molecules are approximately 80 nucleotides in length. Their secondary structure includes four short double-helical elements and three loops (D, anti-codon, and T loops).
Source: RNAcentral
GGAGAAAUGGCUGAGCGGUUUAAAGCGGUAGAUUGUAAAUCUAUUGAGUUUUCUCAUCGUAGGUUCGAAUCCUACUUUCUCCUA